RNAcentral lists this ribosomal RNA (248 nucleotides) under uncultured bacterium. RNAcentral's name for it is "partial 16S ribosomal RNA". It matches the Rfam family "Bacterial small subunit ribosomal RNA", at positions 57 to 304 of the family's 1533-position model. The record is from RNAcentral.
GCAAGUCGAAGGGCAGCACGGUUUUCGGACUGGUGGCGAUCGGCGCCCGGGUGCGUAACGCGUAUGCAACCUACCUUAUACAGGGGGAUAGCCCAGAGAAAUUUGGAUUAAUACCCCAUAGUACUACAAGAUAGCAUUUGAAAGUAGUUAAAGAUUUAUCGGUAUAAGAUGGGCAUGCGUUAGAUUAGUUAGUUGGUGAGGUAACGGCUCACCAAGACUACGAUCUAUAGGGGACCUGAGAGGGUGAU